This 492-nucleotide ribosomal RNA is filed under the name uncultured bacterium. RNAcentral's name for it is "partial 16S ribosomal RNA". It matches the Rfam family "Bacterial small subunit ribosomal RNA", at positions 29 to 507 of the family's 1533-position model. The record is from RNAcentral.
AGUGAACGCUGGCGGUAGGCCUAACACAUGCAAGUCGAACGGCAGCACAGUAAGAGCUUGCUCUUACGGGUGGCGAGUGGCGGACGGGUCAGGAAUACAUCGGAAUCUACUUUUUCGUGGGGGAUAACGUAGGGAAACUUACGCUAAUACCGCAUACGACCUACGGGUGAAAGCAGGGGAUCUUCGGACCUUGCGCGAUUGAAUGAGCCGAUGUCGGAUUAGCUAGUUGGCGGGGUAAAGGCCCACCAAGGCGACGAUCCGUAGCUGGUCUGAGAGGAUGAUCAGCCACACUGGAACUGAGACACGGUCCAGACUCCUACGGGAGGCAGCAGUGGGGAAUAUUGGACAAUGGGCGCAAGCCUGAUCCAGCCAUACCGCGUGGGUGAAGAAGGCCUUCGGGUUGUAAAGCCCUUUUGUUGGGAAAGAAAAGCAGCAGGUUAAUACCCCGCUGUUCUGACGGUACCCAAAGAAUAAGCACCGGCUAACUUCGUG